AAAUAUGACAUCCAAAGACUGAAAUGCACAAAUCUUACAAGCACUGUGAAGUGAAGGGGUAUUCAUUCAGCCAUUAAACGGACUCAGAGUGAUGAAGCUGAAGUUGCGGCUUUCCUUGCUGUUGUUACAUGUGAUCCAUUAUAUCCAGUCCUCCAGUCCUCCCGGACAAUGGACAGCAAAAAUACCUGCAAAGAUUCCGGCCCUGCAGGGCUCCUGUGUGGUUAUUCCCUGCACCUACACUUACCCCAGGCGCACCUCAAAGAAGAUCCUGAACAGUUGGAGGGGAUUCUGGAAGAAAGGAAAUAAGAUCAUCUCCACCAAUCUCCCCAAAUGGAAACUGCCUGGGGAGUACAAAAAACGAACCCAGUUUUUGGGAAAACUCAGAGCACGCAACUGCACCAUGCUGCUGGAUGGUGUGAGGACGACAGAUGUCGGCCCUUUCUACUUCAGGAUUGAAAUGCCGCAAUACAAAAGCUUCUCCUACAUAAACAACUCAGUGACCAUAGAUGUCAUAAGUAACCCAGUGCCUCCAACUCUGUCUGUGGAGAUGAACGAUAAAGUAACUGCCUCCUGCUUUGUGCACCACUCUUGCCCAUAUAUUCCUCCUAAAUUCUCCUGGAGCCACUCUGGAAUUGUCAUGCUACGUUCAAAGAGGCUGACUAACUGGAAGUGGAAAAUCGUGUCAACCCUGACCUUUAACCUUCUAUUCGUUGACCUCAACACGCCUUUAAACUGCACAGUGCACUACAGAGGGGGGAAGAAGGCAGAGAGCUCCACCAUUCUCACAAUAUGAUGCGAGCCCAGUGCAGGCACUGAAUAUCAUUUUUCACUCUGAAUGGGCAACAGGAAAAAGCAGAGACCAUCUGUCAGAGAAGACCACAAACCUGUAGAAGAAGAAGAGAUGUGAAGACAGGAAUUCCUUCAUUCGGUUGAUGCCUACAGCUGCUGAGGUCAUGUGAUGAGUCUCCAGAGACCCUCUUCAUGUUGUGUCAAGAAGUCCUCCAGUUUGACUGUGUCCUCUUUUUGGCGCCCCCAGGACAGUUUCCUGGGAGUAGGAGUAUUGAAGCCAGCGGAUGCCGAGUUACCCAUGACAGGAAAUGUGCUUGAAUUGGAGUUUUGGGAUAUGCGAUGAGCAAAUCUGUGAAUCAAAAAAUUAAAUGCACCAAAUGAAUGUCUGUUUGUAAUUACACAUUAACUUUACACAUAAACUGCAGAAUGCACACACGUAGUUUCUUACCUGGUUACAGGUCACAGUGAUGUCCCUCUAAUGCUGCUGGUUCAUCUGCUGAAGUUCAAAGUUGCACAUUAAAUGAAAAGUGGUCAUCUCCUCUUUUUUAAAGAGUCCUGCAGGGUAGACUCAAGGCCUGACCUUGUCUCUCAUCAAAGAAACACUUGAUUGGAUCUCUCUGGAUGAGAUUAAACAGGAACAGUAUAAGAUCCAUUGAUCAACUACCGCUGAUCAAUGGAUCAAUCAGUUUAUAUUAAUCAGUCAGUUAAUCAAUCGCUGGGAACUUCCUUCAAUCACAAACACACAAUAAAACUAUUUAUAGAUGUUAUCAUGUUAAAAGUUGUAAUUGUAAACGUAGGUAUUCAUCAUCUGUGUUUCAGUUUGAUUAAUUUUGUUUCAGGUUUCAUCUCUGUGAUGUACUAAGUAUAAAGAAUACAUUUUGUACAAA
This is an RNA transcript of Micropterus salmoides (largemouth bass), 1676 nucleotides long. It is a transcript of the gene named myelin-associated glycoprotein-like, with no coding region annotated. Lineage: Eukaryota; Metazoa; Chordata; Actinopteri; Centrarchiformes; Centrarchidae. The transcript has 7 exons. The record is from RefSeq and is a predicted model, not a curated record.